AAUUACCGGAAACAUAUCAACAAGAUCAUGAUAUAAAGCUGAAUCUACCAUGUUUACAACAUUAUUAUAACAGUUUUGACGAAGAUCAGUUUGAUGGUCCUCCUUCAUCAAUAAAUAAUUGUGUUUCGUGUAUUUUAGAUGAUACAGGAAGCCAACAACAACAACAACAACAACAACAACAACAACAACCCACUGCGUUUCAAGUGUAAUGCCUCUUUUGAACUCAUCACUCAUCUUAUAUGUACAUCGUCUUCACUAGUGAAAGUCCUAACAACACAAGAUGGUCUCCUCUCUGGAAAAGUUUAUUUUUCAACGAUGUUGAUUACCAAUGGAAGAAGAUGAAUCUGGGUUAUUUGAGCAAUACUGCAAUAGAAAUAUUUAAAUAUGAAAAUGUUUCUAUAGCAAACUCUGUAAUAUAUUUUAAAUUAAGACUAGUUUUUACCAAUAGUAAUUAUAUUGAUACUGACUGGAAGAGACUUAUACUUAAUGAUCAUGAUGUAGUUUCAAUAAAAAAUUGUUUUAAUCAUGUUCCUACCUUUUUAGCAAUGUUUGGAAUUGUUUGUACAUGUUGGAUCGUUUUUAUGAUGUUCAUAGCGUUAGGUUUGGCUUAAAAACUGCAAUUAAAAAUUUAUUUAGGUGUAUGACUUUGUUAGUUUAAGUAUGUAGUUUGUUUUAUGUCUAAUAAAAAAUAAUAUUCA
This is a long non-coding RNA of Tribolium castaneum (red flour beetle), 698 nucleotides long. RefSeq lists it as uncharacterized. Lineage: Eukaryota; Metazoa; Arthropoda; Insecta; Coleoptera; Tenebrionidae. The record is from RefSeq and is a predicted model, not a curated record. The transcript has 2 exons.